GACGAACGCUGGCGGCGUGCUUAACACAUGCAAGUCGAACGGAAAGGCCCUGCUUGCAGGGUACUCGAGUGGCGAACGGGUGAGUAACACGUGGGUGAUCUGCCCUGCACUUCGGGAUAAGCCUGGGAAACUGGGUCUAAUACCGGAUAGGAGCCAUUUUUAGUGUGAUGGUUGGAAAGUUUUUUCGGUGUAGGAUGAGCUCGCGGCCUAUCAGCUUGUUGGUGGGGUAAUGGCCUACCAAGGCGGCGACGGGUAGCCGGCCUGAGAGGGUGGACGGCCACAUUGGGACUGAGAUACGGCCCAGACUCCGACGGGAGGCAGCAGUGGGGAAUAUUGCACAAUGGGCGCAAGCCUGAUGCAGCGACGCCGCGGGGGGGAUGACGGCCUUCGGGUUGUAAACUCCUUUCGCUAGGGACGAAGCUUUUUGUGACGGUACCUAGAUAAGAAGCACCGGCUAACUACGUG
Molecule: ribosomal RNA, 465 nt
Filed under: uncultured bacterium
Lineage: Bacteria
Description: partial 16S ribosomal RNA
Rfam family: Bacterial small subunit ribosomal RNA
Source: RNAcentral